This 97-nucleotide small RNA is filed under the name Flavobacterium noncentrifugens. RNAcentral's name for it is "Flavo-1 RNA". It matches the Rfam family "Flavo-1 RNA". Lineage: Bacteria; Pseudomonadati; Bacteroidota; Flavobacteriia; Flavobacteriales; Flavobacteriaceae. The record is from Rfam by way of RNAcentral.
UACAAGUCGUCCGCGUUAGGGAUUGCAGCGGAAAUCCUUUUAUUUUAUGUAGCGUAGCGGAAAAAAUGAAAGAUUGCAGCGGAAAGCCCGGCCGCAG